UCAAGUUCAAGUUCCUGAUACCAAAUUAACGGUCUGAAGCGUAUUUUCCAUUUGUACACUGCAUUCGCAUGGCCAGUGUGUGAUACAGAGCCCAAGUGGAGCACCUGCUUGCAAAACAUAAUAAACAAUCAAGGUUAGCUCUCUUAGUGUGCGCCUUUGCCUCAGGUGCUGCGUGGUCAUAUUUUAAAAAUCCUGAUUAGUGUGAUGAAAGAGAGUUAAUCAUUCUAUAAUACAGGGUCAUCCCUUUGCCUGGAUUUCUUUCCAGGUUUUGUCUUUGCAAAUCAAGAAAAGCUAAAUGAUAGACUGAUAGCAUCAUAACCAAGAGUUACUAAUACAUUAAAAGGGCUAUUCCCGUAGAGUACAGCACUGGUAACAUUAAAUCCUGUUUAAUUCACAUUCAAUCUACUACUAAAAUAAAAGAAGAACACAACAACCUAGAUAACGCCUAAUAACUCUAAUUCUUGAGACUAUAUUGAUAACAGAGGAAAAUCACCCACUAUAUCAUACCACUACUACUG
Molecule: long non-coding RNA, 518 nt
Organism: Tympanuchus pallidicinctus (lesser prairie-chicken)
Lineage: Eukaryota; Metazoa; Chordata; Aves; Galliformes; Phasianidae
Exons: 2
Source: RefSeq, a predicted model, not a curated record